GAUGAACGCUGGCGGCGUGCUUAACACAUGCAAGUCGAACGAAGCGAUGGAGAACGGAGAUUUCGGUUGAAGUUUUCUAUUGACUGAGUGGCGGACGGGUGAGUAACGCGUGGGUAACCUGCCCUAUACAGGGGGAUAACAGUUAGAAAUGACUGCUAAUACCGCAUAAGCGCACAGCUUCGCAUGAAGCGGUGUGAAAAACUGAGGUGGUAUAGGAUGGACCCGCGUUGGAUUAGCUAGUUGGUGAGGUAACGGCCCACCAAGGCGACGAUCCAUAGCCGGCCUGAGAGGGUGAACGGCCACAUUGGGACUGAGACACGGCCCAAACUCCUACGGGAGGCAGCAGUGGGGAAUAUUGCACAAUGGGGGAAACCCUGAUGCAGCGACGCCGCGUGAAGGAAGAAGUAUCUCGGUAUGUAAACUUCUAUCAGCAGGGAAGAAAGUGACGGUACCUGACUAAGAAGCCCCGGCUAAUUACGUGCCAGCAGCCGCGGUAAUACGUAAGGGGCAGGCGUUAUCCGGAUUUACUGGGUGUAAAGGGAGCGUAGACGGUUUGGCAAGUCUGAUGUGAAAGGCAUGGGCUCAACCUGUGGACUGCAUUGGAAACUGUCAGACUUGAGUGCCGGAGAGGCAAGCGGAAUUCCUAGUGUAGCGGUGAAAUGCGUAGAUAUUAGGAGGAACACCAGUGGCGAAGGCGG
RNAcentral lists this ribosomal RNA (698 nucleotides) under uncultured Lachnospiraceae bacterium. RNAcentral describes it as "bacterial SSU rRNA". It matches the Rfam family "Bacterial small subunit ribosomal RNA", at positions 28 to 724 of the family's 1533-position model. Lineage: Bacteria; Bacillati; Bacillota; Clostridia; Lachnospirales; Lachnospiraceae. The record is from RNAcentral.